AGGCUUCCAAGCAUACACUUUAUGCAGAAAAAGCUCACGAAAAGAACCAACUCCAAGUCCCUUUUCAAAGAUCAUGAUUGUAGAAUUUUUGAACUUAAUGCAAAUCCUAUUUAUGCCAAUGCUAAAGUAUUAGUACGCAUAAAAUAACUGAUAUAUUGAUCCUGCCAUUUAAUCCUUAAGUGUCAAAAUACAGAAUUUAGUACUUAAU
RNAcentral lists this unclassified non-coding RNA (208 nucleotides) under Hevea brasiliensis (rubber tree). Lineage: Eukaryota; Viridiplantae; Streptophyta; Magnoliopsida; Malpighiales; Euphorbiaceae. The record is from RNAcentral.